RNAcentral lists this long non-coding RNA (433 nucleotides) under Volvox carteri. Its description in RNAcentral is "long non-coding RNA (VCAR_LNC002170)". Lineage: Eukaryota; Viridiplantae; Chlorophyta; Chlorophyceae; Chlamydomonadales; Volvocaceae. The record is from RNAcentral.
CGGCGCUGGGCUUGGCGGCUCAGGCGAUGGCGGUGCUGGGCUUGGCGGAGCAGGCGAUGGCGGCGCUGGGCUGGGCGGAGCAGGCGAUGGCGGCGCUGGGCUGGGCGGCUCAGGCGAUGGCGGCGCUGGGCUGGGCGGCUCAGGCGAUGGCGGCGCUGGGCUGGGCGGCUCAGGCGAUGGCGGCGCUGGGCUGGGCGGAGCAGGCGAUGGCGGCGCUGGGCUUGGUGGAGCAGGCGAUGGCGGCGCUGGGCUUGGCGGCUCAGGCGAUGGCGGCGCUGGGCUUGGAGGAGCAGGCGAUGGCGGCGCUGGGCUUGGCGGAGCAGGCGAUGGCGGCGCUGGGCUUGGCGGCUCAGGCGAUGGCGGCGCUGGGCUUGGAGGAGCAGGCGAUGGCGGCGCUGGGCUGGGCGGCUCAGGCGAUGGCGGCGCUGGGCUU